GAUUCCUGGGGACACGGACAGACGGGGACACAGAGGCAAGACAGGAGGGGGUCCCGGCGGUCAGACCCACAGCCCUUCGUAGUGACAGAAGCUUCCCCCCCACCCCCGCCACAAGGACACCCCCUUUCCAAAGGCUGUGUCGCUGGGAUUUAGAACUUUCUAGAAAGCCCAUCUUGGAAACCUCUGGCUACAGGGGGUGGGGAGGGGUCCUGGGAGUUGAUGGGCCCCAUCACCCCACUCCCACCAGCGGGCACCUGGGCCCUGUCACCUCUGUAGCCGGGGACAAGUACAGGACAGAUGGAGAGCGGCCGCCCGGUGCUGCCACUAGCUCUGGGCUCUGAGGACAGGCCGGCUUCCUGCCCUGCCCUGCCCUGCCCUGCCCCCCGGGGAGGGUGUCACAGCAGGUGACAGAAAGGUGAUAGCCAGUGACAGGUGGUAGAAAGGUGGCAGUUGACAGAGGUGACACAAAGGUGACAUGGUGAUGGGAGGGUGGCAGGUGACCAACAGGUGCCAGCCGAGGGCUGGAGGGCGGCACUCACCUCGGGUGCCCUUGGGGCAAGGUCUCUCCACCAGCAUGCCCUGCUGCGUGGCCGGCCA
Long non-coding RNA from Erinaceus europaeus (western European hedgehog), 597 nucleotides. RefSeq lists it as uncharacterized. NCBI's taxonomy places the organism in Eukaryota, Metazoa, Chordata, Mammalia, Eulipotyphla, Erinaceidae. The record is from RefSeq and is a predicted model, not a curated record. The transcript is spliced from 3 exons.